UACGAGGGAUCCUAGCGUUGUUCGGAAUCAUUGGGCGUAAAGCGGGUGCAGGUGGCUUUGUAAGUCAGGUGUGAAAGCCCAGGGCUUAACCCUGGAAGUGCAUUUGAUACUGCAAAGCUUGAGUGUAGGAGAGGUUACUAGAAUUCCUGGUGUAGUGGUGAAAUACGUAGAUAUCAGGAGGAAUACCGGAGGCGAAGGCGGGUAACUGGCCUAACACUGACACUCAGACCCGAAAGCGUGGGGAUCAAACAGG
This 253-nucleotide ribosomal RNA is filed under the name uncultured bacterium. RNAcentral's name for it is "partial 16S ribosomal RNA". It matches the Rfam family "Bacterial small subunit ribosomal RNA", at positions 524 to 776 of the family's 1533-position model. The record is from RNAcentral.